Non-coding RNA from Struthio camelus australis, 2059 nucleotides. The record is from RefSeq and is a predicted model, not a curated record. NCBI's taxonomy places the organism in Eukaryota, Metazoa, Chordata, Aves, Struthioniformes, Struthionidae.
AAGUAUCUAUCUACAUUUUAAGGCAAAUUCAGUAUGUUGGAACCCACACUGCCACCAAGAAAAGAGCUCUUCUUGGUCCCUGUACAUUUAUUUAUACAUUCCAUGGCAAGAGCCCACCUCCUGUUUCUACAGGCUAGUGUCUUACUGGAAGAAGAAUUUAAAGGAUGCAAAGUUCUAUGAAUGGUGAUGAUCCACAGUAGGUUUUAUCCCAAAACCCUGUUUUCAUGCUUUACAUAGAUAUGCAGUUGAUAUCACCAAUGUUAUUGUAUGUUUCAUCUUGUUUACUGUUUUUGGAGAUAGGGGCAGGGGAAGAGGUCUCCGUAGGAGUAUGCUUUUCGCACACUAUUGCUUUAGGUAAAUUUAGUGAGUAAAACAGGACUUUCACAUGUGUUAAAGGCCAAGCUACAUAAUCAGGCAACAUUAUCUUCUUGUAUCUUCAGAGUAUGUCUGAAUAGAGACGCCGCCUCCCAAAAAAGACGCCUCUCUUAAAAGAUUGCAAAUCUGACUGUAAUUUACUUUCCCGUAAACAAGAUUUAGUUCUUUGUGCUUCAUCCUACUAAUGAGCAUCUUCUUUUGGACAGCAUUUUCCUUAGCCUUGUAAAUGUAUGUGAAUGCCUUAAAAGUUAUCUCAUUAGACUAGUUAAUUUUCUUUUUUAAUUAAACAUCUUAAACAAGGAAACUUGGAGCUUAGGAUCAGUGAAAAUGUGAUUUCCAUCUCCACCUACUGUGCAUUUUACAGGGAUGCAAAUACACGGAAAGCAUUGCCGUAACUUUAGAAACUUCUUACAUCACUGACUAAAAGGAAGACAUAACACUUUCUGCACAAAGACGGAUGGCGGUCUCUCCACUGUGGAAAAACUAAAUGGCUUUUGUCAGGGUGGUACUUCUGCCGUGUAUCGUGAACACUAAUGUUCAUUUGCUGCAAAGAUUGACAGGCCAGCGCUCUAACUUAAUAGAUUCCCGAGCGUGACUUCUUCCGUAGCUGUUCAGAGGAAGUUUCCAUGCUAACCAGACUUACAAAACUUUAACUUUUCCGCUGCAGGGAAUGCCUGGCAACUAAACGGACUACAUUUACUCCACCAUCAAAAUCUUGAAUCAUUAACUCACAACUUUCACUCAGUCCGGUGCGGCUUUGCUUUAAAAACACGCAUGGUAUUUUUUCUUCUUUUUGAAACUUCCUUAAUUAAUAGGUGUGACUAUCUAUGUCUAAACUGUGGGACUCAGGAACACCUCCUAGUUCCUGGUUUGGGAUGCGUGCCCGGCCACACCCUAACAACGUAUUAGGACAAGACCUGUACAUAAACUGGCACCCUCCCUUAAUCUUGUACUUGUCCGCAACUGGGGAGUCAAAAACUGUGUGCCACGCUCCAGCGUAUGUUUAAAGCAGAUUCAUUAUUCUACUGCUGCAUUGCAACUUAGCAUCAUCCCACGUGCAAGUCAGCAAGGCAUACCUUAAGAGAUGGCUCAGAUACGGGUGGUGGAAUGGGACCUUAGUAAAGAUGAAAACGUCCAUGGAUGAAGAGAGAACGAUAGGAGACAUGGAUGCAAAAGUGUCUGUCAAAUCAUUACGGAUUCUAAAACAACCAGCAAAGAAAGGCUAAAGAUACACUUCAGGAAAACGAAGUGAGAGAGUCACAGAAUUAAAGAGGUGGAACGCCUGUAAAAAGAAAGAACUGAAAGAACUAUCAGAGAGAGAAAAGGGGGAAAAAACCCAAAGAAAAUAUAGCUAAUGCCUUGGAAAUAUUCUACAACGCUACCGGUGCCACAAUUUAUUUCUGUACACAGCAAAAUCUCUUCUAUCUGACUGCAAAUCUCUUAAGGGUACAAUUCUAAUCACCCAGCCUAGUCCACCGGAGUAAAUCCAGAGCAACUACACUGAAAUCUGUGGAGUAACUCCAGAAUUUACACUGACGUUAUAGUGGCCAGAAUCUGACUCUAUACAAAAUAGUUAUUUCCCCCUAUUUAUGCUAAACUACUGUCACUUGCGUUUCUACUCACAUCUGUUGUAACAAGCUGUGAAUUCAUUUGACCCAAAAGCUGCUUUGUUCCUAAGAAAUGU